RNAcentral lists this unclassified non-coding RNA (392 nucleotides) under uncultured fungus. RNAcentral describes it as "partial contains 5.8S ribosomal RNA, internal transcribed spacer 2, and large subunit ribosomal RNA". Lineage: Eukaryota; Fungi. The record is from RNAcentral.
AACGCACAUUGCGCUCCUUGGUAUUCCGGGGAGCAUGCCUGUUUGAGAAUCAAUAAAUCUCUCACGACCCAGUCCUUUUGGUAACUCUCAAGGACUUUGGUUGUGGAUCUGGGUCUUUUGCGUUCUCACGAACACAAUGGCCUUAAUAUCAAUGUCUGCAGCUUUCUUCUGAUGGAGAUUGGCUUUGAGUGCAUGAACUGUUUUAACUAACUCAGAUUUCACUCUCGCAAGUCUUUCUCAAUGUCCGAGGUAUUGCCGUCUGACUCAACCAUUACAUCCUUGCCCAGCUGGACCGAAUCAAAGAAAAGAUUUUUUUUUUUUUUUUUUUUUGUGUUUGUGCGAGGCAUCGAAUACUUGGUCUCAAAUCAGGUAGGAAAACCCGCUGAACUUAA